UAAAUUCGAAUACGCAUACCGUAGACAGUAGGUGUCCGGAAGGACUUAAUUUCCUACCGAGGUGUUAUGAUAAUACGUUAAUGAAGUCGCGGCCUGCCGCAUGUACUUGAUAACGACAUCAUGGCCUUCGCAGUGUCUGCGAAGGCCUUUUCUCAUGCACCC
Molecule: regulatory RNA element, 162 nt
Organism: Paenibacillus sp. MY03
Lineage: Bacteria; Bacillati; Bacillota; Bacilli; Caryophanales; Paenibacillaceae
Rfam family: Ribosomal protein L10 leader
About the family: This family is a putative r-protein leader autoregulatory structure found in B. subtilis and other low-GC Gram-positive bacteria. It is located in the 5' untranslated regions of mRNAs encoding ribosomal proteins L10 and L12 (rplJ-rplL).
Source: Rfam